RNAcentral lists this ribosomal RNA (253 nucleotides) under uncultured bacterium. Its description in RNAcentral is "partial 16S ribosomal RNA". It matches the Rfam family "Bacterial small subunit ribosomal RNA", at positions 524 to 776 of the family's 1533-position model. The record is from RNAcentral.
UACGGAGGAUCCAAGCGUUAUCCGGAUUUAUUGGGUUUAAAGGGUGCGUAGGCGGAUUGAUAAGUUAGAGGUGAAAUGUCCGAGCUCGACUCGGGAACUGCCUCUAAUACUGUUGAUCUAGAGAGUAGAUGCGGUAGGCGGAAUGUAUGGUGUAGCGGUGAAAUGCUUAGAGAUCAUACAGAACACCGAUUGCGAAGGCAGCUUACCAAUCUAUAUCUGACGUUGAGGCACGAAAGCGUGGGGAGCAAACAGG